GGGUUUUCUUAUCUUUAGGUAACUGUGAGCCCCUUGCUUUGGUGACCUUGGACAGGUCUGUCUUUAUGAACAGACCAAAAGGGGAUAAUGAGAGGUGGCUAAUGGGCUGUCUGCGUUUUAGACUCAGUUGGUAUGUGCCUGGGGCAGCUCUCCUUUCCAGCCCUCCACCAUCCCCAUCCCAAGUGACCGGGAGGGGUGGGCUGGCCCUCAACACUAUCGGGAUGGGGAGGUGGUGGGCCCCACUUCUUGGUAACUCUGUUUAACCCUAGAUAACUGCUCCCCUGCUCCCUCGGUUGGCGCUGAUAUGAGCUGAAUCCAACUUCCUGCCACCCCAAAGCCACUUCCUGCCAAACUUGAGCUGAUACCAGAAGAACUUGUUUUCUGUACACAGAGCAGUCCCUGAUGGGGUUGUUUUUGCAUUGGCCAGUCUACCUGGUAGGGCUGGGUGGGGGAGGAUGGGAACUCUGCCCUCCUUACCUGCUGCACCCACCUGUCCCGUCCUAGCCCUGCUUUUGUGCUGGCCAGCCAUGCCAGCCAGGUGUUCCACUGGGCCCAGACAGACAAUGUUUAGGCCAUGGCACACAGUCUGACCCAGCCACAUACAGCCAGUCUGAGAACACUGUGUGGGGGUUGUGAGGCCACCAGAAAUGUGAGUGACUGUCAACACACGAUAACAGUCAUAGUUGCAUACGUGAACACAUGACCUCACAGUCACACAACCAUAUGGAGUCAUGGGACAGUCUCACACACAAUUAAAUGCAGUCACACUCACAGUGCAUGGUAUCAGAACCCCGGCUUCAUCACAUACACCCAAGGUGAGCGGGAGUAUGUCAGCAAAUACUCUUUGAGGUCUGCCUGGGCAAGGCCUUGCACUAACCCUAAUAAGAAUAGCUGGAAUAGUCCUACCAUCAUGCACACAUUACAGCUGAGGGAACCAAGUCUUAGAGAAGCAGCCCGUAGAGGCACCAACUGCUCACUGCUGUCCCAGCCAGCCCAACUGCCCCCGUCCAGACACGGACUGUCUCCUCAGCCUGGAGCACCCUUCUGGCUUAUUCCUUUAGAACUGUCUACUCACACACAACUCUUGUACAAAACUCAAGCAGCUCCUGUUCAUUCCCUCAGAGGCUGGGUCAUUCACAAAAGAGCACAUCUCCCUUUGGCUUUAAGGGACAAGGAGACACGGCAUUUUGUCCUGGCUUCUGCUAUACUCUGUUCUGUGGCAUAGAGUAGGUGCUCAGCAACUAUUUCAGAAUUGAAAAGACUGCUAAGGACAGAGUCUGGACCGGAACCCAGGACACCUGAGGCUGGAGCUCAUUUCUGUUACUAUGCUUUUCAUACUGCCCAAAGACCCUUUAGCAACAGUGAUCAAUGAACGAAUGAAUGAAUGAAUGACCCAAGCUCUCAAGAUCCUAGGCCAGUGAUCCCCAGGCUAACCUCCUUCAUUUCCUGGCAGUGUGGACAAGAGCCAAGCUCCAGGCCCCUUGGAUAGUGGCAGGGCUGACGGCCGCCUAAAGCCGGCUGUCAGAAGCUUGUCUGGCCAGAGCUGCCAGCAGGGGAGACCAGCUGGCAGUGCAGGGUCCAUCGGCCCAGGCCUGGAAUCUGAGACGCCCUCAGAGGCCCGGCUUCUCUUUGGGCCCCCACAAACUGGCCUUUGUUCCUGGGCUAGCCAAGGCCGGCAGCUUGGGCUUUCUCUCUGCCUGCGGCACCCGCGCUGAGCUGGCGAGGUAAAUGGGCCAGCCUCCCCUCUGUCCAUGCCUAGGACGUUGCUUCAGGACUAAAUGGAGAUGUAAUUUUCUAUACAAAUCCAUGACAAUUUAGAUGGAGUGAUUGUAAUUGGCUUUUCAAUGGAGGUUUUGUCCAGCGCUGGUGGCUAGAACUGGGUGGCCUGUUUGAGGCAGGCUCCAUUUAAAUGACAAUAAAGCAAUAAUAUUGAGGACUUGUACAGCGCCCAGUGCCCCUCCUGAGCCCUUGAGGAACCUCAUGUUUAUGGAUCUGCUCCUUCCCUAGGGCUGUCUGGACAACAGGGUGCUGGGGGUCACUGCGGCUAGGAGAGGGGUGGCUGUACCUUUGGGCUUCAGGAAACAGCUGCAGAAUGGCUGGGGCAGGGCCCAUAUCCUCAACUACCUGUUCCCUCAUUCGUUACACACCCACUAGCCAGUACCUCCCAGGGCUGGAGGCUAGCCCAGGUGUUGGGGUGCUAAUGACCUCCCAGGUAGGCCAGAGGGAGGAGUCUGCUAUGUCUCAGUAUAUCACAGUGUGGCAGUCAUGACAGGGGCCCCAGGGAGCAUAAGCCAAAGCUUGACCCUCUUGUGACUGGCUUCCUGAGUGCCUGUAGCUGAGUUUCCCAGCCCUGAGGUGGAGUGCAGUGGAUGUCCCCGAGAGGAUGGAAUGUGUGCAGGGCGCAGCCCAGUACCUGGCAUGUGAAAGGUGCUAUAUAUAGUCAUUGCGGGUACUCACUAACCUCUCCUGCUCAGGAAGACUGGCUGGUGACCUCGGGCAGGACACAUGGCUAAAUCUCUUCAAACUUUUGUUGGCUUCUCUUUAAAAUGGGGCUUCUAGGGGAGCUGACCCUAUGGGGUUCUGAGGAGUAAGGCGAGGGCGUGUCCAAGCACUUAGCACAGGUCAGGCUCCAAUACCGUCCGCUCUCCUCACUGCCUCCUGCCUCCAGCAGCUUCUAUGAGGACAGCACCAAGUGUGGGGACCCACAGCAAGAGGAGCAAGCUGACAGGAGCCAGCGUGGGGCUGGCUCUGUCGCCUGAAGAUGCAACGGGGGAAGGAACGAUCUCGGGGAGGCUGUGCGGAAGAAGACGUCACAGAGGAAGCGGCAUUUGGCUGGACCGUUUCGCCAAGAGGAAGGGUGUCUACUACAGUGCUACCAGGAAGGUCCUGCAGCAUGGUCACUAGAAGGAGUGAUUCUCACCUGUCGGUGAGGUGUGAUGGCCACACAGGCUCUGUUGAAGUGACAGUGUUCAAGUCACUCCAGACGGCAAGCAGCCUGGGCGAGACAGCAUGGGAGCUGGUCUGGAAGUCCUGUCUCUACUGCCAGUGAAACAGGAAGCCACAGAGAAAAUAUCAGUGUUAUCAGCUCACUCAUGACCAUUGGGGAAGCUCCCGAGAACCGUCACUGUGACACGUGGACUACUUCUUAGCCAUAAGUGGACACCUACAGUCACCCCCUCCAAGGCUCCGGGAUCAUUGCUGAAGAGUGGGGCAGGAAGAGUGUAACAGCUGGACAACUCAAAAUAGCUUCAGGAAGUCCCUGAAACUGACCAGACCCACCAGGCCCUCCCUACCAGAGUAAGCAACAGAAGCUGAGCUUCCCUCUCAGACAGAAGGAAGGACGCUGAGCUGCAAAGAAGACUGUGAGGCCCAACCAGUUGCCUAGAAGAAGCAGAAACCAGGAAGAGGUUUAGACCAACUGAGGCACCUGGAAAGGAUGCCCUCCAAGCUGCUCAGCUGCCUGCAGGCAGUGCAGUGUGCUCCAGGUUCCCAGCUCUGUGAGCUGUCACCCAUGCUGGGGUGGGCCUUGGUGAUACAGCUGUCUUUGAGUCAUUUCUGCUCUUAUAAGUAACCCCUCACCCAUAUUUCUGUAAGUAACCCCUUAAAACUCAUCAGUUCACCAA
Non-coding RNA from Peromyscus maniculatus bairdii (prairie deer mouse), 3623 nucleotides. The record is from RefSeq and is a predicted model, not a curated record. Lineage: Eukaryota; Metazoa; Chordata; Mammalia; Rodentia; Cricetidae.